GAGGGGUGCAAACGUUGUCCGGAAUUACUGGGCGUAAAGAGCGCGUAGGCGGUCUGAUCCGUCGUUUAUUAAAGACCGAGGCUCAACCUCGGGAAAGUGAACGAUACAAUCAGACUUGAGUAAAGCAGAGGCACAUGGAACACUCGGUGGAGGGGUGACAUCCGUUGAUAUCGAGUGGAACACCAAAGGCGAAGGCAGUGUGCUAGGCUUUUACUGACGCUGAGGCGCGACAGCGUGGGUAGCGAUCGGGAUUAGAUACCCCGGUAGUCCACGCCGUAAAUUCUGCUCACUAGGCAUUGGGGAGUAUCGACCCUUCUUUGUGCCGAAGUUAACACGUUAAGUGAGCCGCCUGGGGAGUACGAACGCAAGUUUA
This 373-nucleotide ribosomal RNA is filed under the name uncultured bacterium. Its description in RNAcentral is "bacterial SSU rRNA". It matches the Rfam family "Bacterial small subunit ribosomal RNA", at positions 527 to 896 of the family's 1533-position model. The record is from RNAcentral.